Molecule: RNA transcript, 727 nt
Organism: Zea mays
Lineage: Eukaryota; Viridiplantae; Streptophyta; Magnoliopsida; Poales; Poaceae
Gene name: RING_Ubox superfamily pseudogene
Exons: 1
Source: RefSeq, marked validated
GAAUGAAUACUGGCUGCUACUAGUAGUACUGGUACGACGGCGAGCAGAGCAGAGCAGAGCACAGCAGCGCUACACGUUGGGCGUGCAUCCAUUCAGGAUCAUGGACGACGGCGACUGGAUCACGGCGAGGUACCUCCUCUCGUCGAUCCUCGGGCGGAACCCGCUGGUGGUGGACUACGUCGACGAGGAGUCCUUCCCCGUCGACCUUCCUCCACCUCCCGCGCCGUCCCCCUCUUCCUCCGGCGGCCGCCGCGCGGAGCCGCCGCCGCCGGUGCGCGCGCCCGCGGGGGUGGCCGGCACGGUGUGCGCGGUGUGCACGGAGGAGAUCGCGGCGGCGGACCCCGUGGCGCGCCUGCCCUGCGCGCACUGGUACCACCACGGCUGCAUCGCGCCGUGGCUCGGGAUCCGCCCCACCUGCCCCAUGUGCCGCGCCGAGCUGCCGCCGAGGGAAGCCGACGCCGGGGAGGAUGGCCCCGCCCGCGCCAAGCCGCCGCCCGCGGGGACCAGCGCCGGCGCGACGGUCGCGGCCGCACGCGCAAGGCGGGACGCGCCGUACGAGCUCCUCGCCGGCGGCGUGCUGUCCGGCUGAUCCGGCCGUCGAGUAGAUAGGGAGUUUGGCGCGUGGACCCGGUCCUAGCUGUGAGCUCAGGGCCGGCCGGCUCCUUUGUUUGUACAGGGCAAAUUGGGUACUCCGAAAAGCAAUAAAAAAAAACAACAUUUCGACCCG